CUACGGGAGGCAGCAGUAGGGAAUCUUCCGCAAUGGACGAAAGUCUGACGGAGCAACGCCGCGUGAGUGAUGAAGGUUUUCGGAUCGUAAAGCUCUGUUGUUAGGGAAGAACAAGUACCGUUCGAAUAGGGCGGUACCUUGACGGUACCUAACCAGAAAGCCACGGCUAACUACGUGCCAGCAGCCGCGGUAAUACGUAGGUGGCAAGCGUUGUCCGGAAUUAUUGGGCGUAAAGGGCUCGCAGGCGGUUUCUUAAGUCUGAUGUGAAAGCCCCCGGCUCAACCGGGGAGGGUCAUUGGAAACUGGGGAACUUGAGUGCAGAAGAGGAGAGUGGAAUUCCACGUGUAGCGGUGAAAUGCGUAGAGAUGUGGAGGAACACCAGUGGCGAAGGCGACUCUCUGGUCUGUAACUGACGCUGAGGAGCGAAAGCGUGGGGAGCGAACAGGAUUAGAUACCCUGGUAGUCCACGCCGUAAACGAUGAGUGCUAAGUGUUAGGGGGUUUCCGCCCCUUAGUGCUGCAGCUAACGCAUUAAGCACUCCGCCUGGGGAGUACGGUCGCAAGACUGAAACUCAAAGGAAUUGACGGGGGCCCGCACAAGCGGUGGAGCAUGUGGUUUAAUUCGAAGCAACGCGAAGAACCUUACCAGGUCUUGACAUCCUCUGACAAUCCUAGAGAUAG
RNAcentral lists this ribosomal RNA (680 nucleotides) under Bacillus sp. Pa57. Its description in RNAcentral is "bacterial SSU rRNA". It matches the Rfam family "Bacterial small subunit ribosomal RNA", at positions 339 to 1009 of the family's 1533-position model. Lineage: Bacteria; Bacillati; Bacillota; Bacilli; Caryophanales; Bacillaceae. The record is from RNAcentral.